Molecule: ribosomal RNA, 250 nt
Filed under: uncultured bacterium
Lineage: Bacteria
Description: partial 16S ribosomal RNA
Rfam family: Bacterial small subunit ribosomal RNA
Source: RNAcentral
UAGGGAAUAUUGGUCAAUGGGUGCAAGCCUGAACCAGCCAUGCCGCGUGCAGGAAGACGGCCUUCUGGGUUGUAAACUGCUUUUGCCAGGGGAUAAAAUGACCUUGCGAGGUUAAUUGAAGGUACCUGGUGAAUAAGCCACGGCUAACUACGUGCCAGCAGCCGCGGUAAUACGUAGGUGGCAAGCGUUGUCCGGAUUUAUUGGGUUUAAAGGGUGCGUAGGCGGCUUUGUAAGUCAGUGGUGAAAUAUG